This 253-nucleotide ribosomal RNA is filed under the name uncultured bacterium. RNAcentral's name for it is "partial 16S ribosomal RNA". It matches the Rfam family "Bacterial small subunit ribosomal RNA", at positions 524 to 776 of the family's 1533-position model. The record is from RNAcentral.
UACGGAGGGUGCAAACGUUGCUCGGAAUCAUUGGGCGUAAAGCGCACGUAGGCGGUGCAGUAAGUCGGAUGUGAAAGCCCUCGGCUCAACCGCGGAAGUGCAUUCGAAACUGCUGUGCUCGAGUACGGAAGAGGGGCUCGGAAUUCCUGGUGUAGAGGUGAAAUUCGUAGAUAUUGGGAGGAACACCAGUGGCGAAGGCGGCGCCCUGGGCCGAUACUGACGCUGAGGCGCGAAAGCGUGGGGAGCAAACAGG